GGACGAACGCUGGCGGCGUGCUUAACACAUGCAAGUCGAACGGUGAAGCCUAGCUUGCUAGGUGGAUUAGUGGCGAACGGGUGAGUAAUACGUGAGUGACCUACCUUUGACUCUGGGAUAAGCCUGGGAAACUGGGUCUAAUACCGGAUACGACCAAUCUCCGCAUGGGGUGUUGGUGGAAAGCGUUAUGGAGUGGUUUUAGAUGGGCUCACGGCCUAUCAGCUUGUUGGUGAGGUAAUGGCUUACCAAGGCGACGACGGGUAGCCGGCCUGAGAGGGUGACCGGCCACACUGGGACUGAGACACGGCCCAGACUCCUACGGGAGGCAGCAGUGGGGAAUAUUGCACAAUGGGCGCAAGCCUGAUGCAGCGACGCCGCGUGAGGGAUGACGGCCUUCGGGUUGUAAACCUCUGUUAGCAUCGAAGAAGCGAAAGUGACGGUAGGUGCAGAGAAAGCGCCGGCUAACUACGUA
Molecule: ribosomal RNA, 472 nt
Filed under: uncultured bacterium
Lineage: Bacteria
Description: partial 16S ribosomal RNA
Rfam family: Bacterial small subunit ribosomal RNA
Source: RNAcentral